CAUUAAAUAUUUUUCUAUAGUUUUUUAAUUCUUACAAAUUCAAAAUUUAAAUAUAUAUUUCAAACUAAAAGUAUCAAAAUUAAAAAUUUAAUAUAACAAUAAAUUAGUAGUAGAUAUAAUAGAGAUGAUAUAUAAAUAUUUAUCCUAAAAAAAUUAUUGAAUGAUAAAAAUAUUUAAUAAAAAAACAAAAUAUUAAUAGUUGGAGAAAAAAGAGACUGAAAGUUUGUUUAAUUCGUUACGUUAUUUGUUUUGCGCACGGAAAAAGAGGAAUUUUGAAAUGGGUGUGUUGACGGACCUAAAAGGAAUUUUGAAAUGGGUGUGUCGACGGACCAAAAUUUGAAAUACGUGCUUUUUAUAUAUAGUAUAGAUGUUAAAAAGUGGGUUUGUCGA
RNAcentral lists this long non-coding RNA (390 nucleotides) under Ananas comosus (pineapple). RNAcentral describes it as "long non-coding RNA (ACOM_LNC030519)". Lineage: Eukaryota; Viridiplantae; Streptophyta; Magnoliopsida; Poales; Bromeliaceae. The record is from RNAcentral.